ACUGAACGCUGGCGGAAUGCUUUACACAUGCAAGUCGAACGGCAGCACGGGGGCAACCCUGGUGGCGAGUGGCGAACGGGUGAGUAAUACAUCGGAACGUGCCCAGUCGUGGGGGAUAACGUAGCGAAAGUUACGCUAAUACCGCAUACGAUCUACGGAUGAAAGCGGGGGACCGUAAGGCCUCGCGCGAUUGGAGCGGCCGAUGUCAGAUUAGGUAGUUGGUGAGGUAAAGGCUCACCAAGUCGACGAUCUGUAGCUGGUCUGAGAGGACGACCAGACACACUGGGCCUGAGACACGGCCCAGACUCCUACGGGAGGCAGCAGUGGGGAAUUUUGGACAAUGGGCGCAAGCCUGAUCCAGCCAUUCCGCGUGCAGGACGAAGGCCUUCGGGUUGUAAACUGCUUUUGUACGGAACGAAAAGGCUCUGGUUAAUACCUGGGGCUCAUGACGGUACCGUAAGAAUAAGCACCGGCUAACUACGUGCCAGCAGCCGCCGUAA
This 500-nucleotide ribosomal RNA is filed under the name uncultured bacterium. RNAcentral describes it as "partial 16S ribosomal RNA". It matches the Rfam family "Bacterial small subunit ribosomal RNA", at positions 30 to 523 of the family's 1533-position model. The record is from RNAcentral.